RNAcentral lists this ribosomal RNA (467 nucleotides) under uncultured bacterium. Its description in RNAcentral is "partial 16S ribosomal RNA". It matches the Rfam family "Bacterial small subunit ribosomal RNA", at positions 28 to 506 of the family's 1533-position model. The record is from RNAcentral.
GACGAACGCUGGCGGCGUGCUUAACACAUGCAAGUCGAACGGUGACGGCAGAGCUUGCUCUGCCUGAUCAGUGGCGAACGGGUGAGUAACACGUGAGUAACCUGCCCCUCACUUCGGGAUAACCUCGGGAAAUCGUGGCUAAUACCGGAUAUGAGACCUGACUGCAUGGUCGGGUCUGGAAAGAUUUAUCGGUGGGGGAUGGACUCGCGGCCUAUCAGCUUGUUGGUGAGGUAACGGCUCACCAAGGCGACGACGGGUAGCCGGCCUGAGAGGGCGACCGGCCAAAAGGGGAAGGGAAGUAGGCCCAGCACUAGACGGGAGGGAGGAGGGGGGAAUUGUGCAAAAGGGGGGAAAGCGUGAGGAAGGCAGCCCGGGGGGGGGGAAAAGACUUUCGGGGUGUAAACCAAUUUAAGGGGGAAAGAAGGAAAGGAGAGGGCACAGGGAGAAGAAGGCCCGGAUAACAAAGU